Molecule: long non-coding RNA, 2704 nt
Filed under: Gallus gallus (chicken)
Lineage: Eukaryota; Metazoa; Chordata; Aves; Galliformes; Phasianidae
Source: RNAcentral
AACAAAAGCCCACUGAAAUUGUUAGCUUAUAUGCUACUGUUUAAUGUGAUUGGCUGUCCAAAAGCUUCAUCUGCUCUGCUAAGAUAGUGGAGUUGAAAUAGAUCGUAUAAUGGUAUGGAACUAUUUUAGCAUUAUGUCUUCAUGUUUGAAGACUACAAAUGAAACCAAAAAAUGGUCUGUGUAGCUAGACCAUUGAUGAUAAUCCCUUUGACUUUUAUCUUAAGUCUUCGUUUUUGUUACUAUAAAUACAUUUUAAAGCAUUGAGAAAGGAGCUUCGUGUAUCUCUAAAAAUAGGAGAUUUGACAUGACUUUGUUUUACAGUAUUAAGGAUUUCUUUCUUGUUGGCUUAACACAGACUUACUAUUAUUUUCCGUAUUUGUUCUGAUUUAAUUCUUUUUCAGACAUGCAGAAACAUUGUAGCUUGGGAAGUUUUGAUGGCCUUUUCCUUUGAUCCCCAAUCAAUGCUUUUUUGAAGAGCUGUAUUUUAUUUUGGUUUGCUCUAGGGUUUUAUCCAGUUAGUUUUCUUCAAAGUAAUUUUUGCACUUGUUAGACAAGGUUGAAUCUGCAUCUAUUUCUUUACCUUCUGUGGUUGUGGUUUUUUGUUAGUGUGAAAUAUUACAUAAGUUAAUGUAUUUCAAUAUUUUUUAUUUUAAAAGUUGAUCCUCCAAAUAUGAUGUUUUAGGUCCUCUUUUGCAUUAUUCUACAGCAGAUUGGAAGGAACAAAAAUCCAACCCUUGGCAGCACAGACCUUUAGGAAAGCAGGAACCCAAUCCAGGAAUGGGACCUGUUCUGAGUAAAGUCACAAUACUUGUACCAGCCGGGUUAAAAUAGGAGAAAACCCUUAAAAAGGAACCUAAACAUGAGGAUUCCUCAACAGCGAGACAGUGUUAUCAGUGUUUAAAAGUAUGGUUUAAUGCUCACUGAUACAGUGAACUUUCCCAGUGACUUCCAGCUUUCUUUGUGGAAGAACCACCAAUAUUUUGCUGUGAUAUUGUGUGCUUCUGUUGGAAUAAUAGGUCUUUUUAUUAUUCCAUCAGUUUCCAAAUUUCUAACAAGCAAGAUUUGAUCAGUUUCACCUAAAACUGGAAUCACAGAAUCAUUUGAGUUGGAAGGGAUCCUUAAAGAUCGCCUAGUCCAACUCCCCUGCAAUGAACAGGGACAUCAGGGUGCUAGAUCAGGGUGCUCAGAGCCCCAUCCAGCCUGACCUUGAGUGUCUCCAAGGAUGGGGCAUCCACCACCUCUCUGGGCAACCUGUUCCAGUGCCUCACCACCCGUACUGUAAGACACUUUGUUAUAUCCAAUCUAUACCUGCAGUAAGGUAAGCUCUGAAGGGAUGACCUAUGUCUCUGAAUAUCAUGGCUUAAACAAACCAAUCCUCAGUUACAUCCAGUUAUGUCUAUGAUAAUUUACCACAGAUAUCAUGAAUAUCAGGAUAGAAUUAGUAAGCCAGCUGGCAAUGAAUGCCUUCUUUGUUGGUCUUCUUCAGUUCUAAGUCCACUGAUUGAGGCUGAGGGCUGGGGUUUUUGCUGGAGGGAUCUAUGGCAGCAGCACUGACUCUGGUCUAAGCAAGUUCUGGUGUUUCUUGCACUGGAGCAAGAAACCGGGGUAAUCUGAUGUUUUCUGUUUUCAUUCUUUGAAUGUUAAGAAUUUCAGCUCUCUGUAAUGGCUUGACACAGAAGGGCAAAGGUUGUGAGACAGAAACUAAGUGCUACACUACAAACCAAGUCAGCCUCAGACAGCUGAGAUACAGGAUGCCACACUGGGCAAUUAAUAGCCAGACCCAAAAUGUUAAAAACCUGAUCUAAAUGUUCCACCAUUACUGAGGUGAGUUGGAAGGGACCUUUAAAGAUUCUCUAGUCCAACCCUUCUGCCUUGGGCAGGGACAUGUUUCUCUAGGUCAGGUUGCUCAAAGCCCCAUCCCGCUUGUCCUCAUCCUGUGGGUGACAGUCACAUCCUACAGGAGAUCAUCUAACUUAGAUGUUCAGAGAAUGUUGCUGUCUCUACAAUUUCAAAAGUGUUUCUUGAUCGGAGAGUGUGUUGGUUUAGUAGGUGAUUUGGAGAACUUAAUGUAGAAGGUAUUUUUUCUUAUUAUGAUCUUGGUUAUGCAUAGAUGGAGCUAAGAAUUUGGUAAAGCAGUCAUCCUGAUCAGCAUUUAUAUUGCUUUAUCCUGUUAGUUCUUUGUAUAACUUGAUGUCUAGAGAGGGAAAAGAGCCUUAAUCAAAGCAUACACCAACAAUUUGAAGGUCAAAGUUCUACUCCAUUUCAGUUGACUUUUAGCAGCCUGGAGAACAUACCUAACUGUGCGUAGUUCACUAAAAUUGAUGAGUUUCUUUUCGAAAUGUCUACAGAAUCUAUUAAAUCAUAGUCAAUCUUCUUGUCCCGCAUAACUUCCUGCAUUUAUGAUGUGAAACUUUAUAUAUGAUGAGGCUCUACCACAAUCAUUGCCUAAGUGUAACUGUGUCCUUCAGUAAUUGAUAACUUUGUUAUUUUUCCUUUUAGUCUCAUCAAUUGUAACUGAAUAAAUUCCAGACUCAGAUACUUAAAUUUUUCCAUUGUUUUUUUUUUCUUUUUAGAUAAAAGUUGAUUCACUUUAUGUCUCAAAGAUCCUAGUUAUCCACUAGCUGCUGGGGUGUAUGUUGGCAUUGCUAUAUCAGAGAAGCACGUGACGUUGCAUGUCACCACAUAUCUGCCAGUACUUUCUAGC